RNAcentral lists this ribosomal RNA (447 nucleotides) under uncultured bacterium. RNAcentral describes it as "partial 16S ribosomal RNA". It matches the Rfam family "Bacterial small subunit ribosomal RNA", at positions 330 to 793 of the family's 1533-position model. The record is from RNAcentral.
UCCAGACUCCUACGGGAGGCAGCAGUGGGGGAUAUUGCACAAUGGGGGGAACCCUGAUGCAGCGACGCCGCGUGGGUGAAGGAGCGUUUCGGCGCGUAAAGCCCUAUCGGCAGGGAAGAAGCAAGACGGUACCUGACUAAGAAGCCCCGGCUAACUACGUGCCAGCAGCCGCGGUAAUACGUAGGGGGCGAGCGUUAUCCGGAUUCACUGGGUGUAAAGGGAGCGUAGACGGCCAUGCAAGCCAGGGGUGAAAGCCCGGGGCCCAACCCCGGGACUGCUCUGGAAACUGCGGCGCUGGAGUACGGGAGGGGCAGGCGGAAUUCCUGGUGUAGCGGUGAAAUGCGUAGAUAUCAGGAGGAACACCGGCGGCGAAGGCGGCCUGCUGGACCGCGACUGACGUUGAGGCUCGAAAGCGUGGGGAGCGAACAGGAUUAGAUACCCGCGUAC